This 440-nucleotide ribosomal RNA is filed under the name uncultured bacterium. Its description in RNAcentral is "partial 16S ribosomal RNA". It matches the Rfam family "Bacterial small subunit ribosomal RNA", at positions 338 to 795 of the family's 1533-position model. The record is from RNAcentral.
CCUACGGGUGGCAGCAGUGGGGGAUAUUGCACAAUGGGGGGAACCCUGAUGCAGCGACGCCGCGUGGGUGAAGAAGUGCCUCGGCGUGUAAAGCUCUGUCAGCAGGGAAGAAAAUGACGGUACCUGAAGAAGAAGCCCCGGCUAACUACGUGCCAGCAGCCGCGGUAAUACGUAGGGGGCAAGCGUUAUCCGGAUUUACUGGGUGUAAAGGGGGCGUAGACGGCGAUGCAAGCCAGGAGUGAAAGGCCGGGGCCCAACCCCCGGACUGCUCUGGAAACUGUGUGGCUGGAGUGCAGGAGGGGCAGGUGGAAGUCCUGGUGUAGCGGUGAAAUGCGUAGAUAUCAGGAGGAACACCGGUGGCGAAGGCGGCCUACUGGACUGCAACUGACGUUGAGGCCCGAAAGCGUGGGGAGCAAACAGGAUUAGAUACCCCUGUAGUC